This is a small nucleolar RNA of Benincasa hispida (wax gourd), 104 nucleotides long. NCBI's taxonomy places the organism in Eukaryota, Viridiplantae, Streptophyta, Magnoliopsida, Cucurbitales, Cucurbitaceae. The record is from RefSeq and is a predicted model, not a curated record.
AAUCCGUGAUUGGGAUUGUUCUUUACUAAUCCUUUAAAGCGCUCCCAUGCGACACUUAAGGUUUCAAAUUCUUCCUGCUCGAAGUUCAUGAUCUCUUUUUGCCU